This 557-nucleotide long non-coding RNA is filed under the name Hordeum vulgare. Its description in RNAcentral is "long non-coding RNA (HVUL_LNC006410)". Lineage: Eukaryota; Viridiplantae; Streptophyta; Magnoliopsida; Poales; Poaceae. The record is from RNAcentral.
UCCUUGUUUUUCAGGAUAAAUUGUACAUAUGAGGAUGGUUAUACCUGAAAACAGUAGUAGAUGAAUCAGCGGUUGAAAGGGAAAGUAAAGAAAAGGGAUCCCACAAUGUUUGAUGCUGUCAUUGUUCCUGUUGUAUCAUAAUCUAGAUGAUUAAGUUAUUUAUGAAUUCUCGAGCAACCAUUUAUGGCGAAAAAGGAGAGGAAUGGAUGAUGUGUAUAAAUCAAUCUGUAAUCAAUUGCGGYGGAUUAAGUAUAGAAGAAUAAUACAAAGAGCCCGGUUGUCGCGUACUCAGUGUUGUGUUUCUCUAGAAGUGAAAAGAAAAUGCCUUGUUUUUCUGAAAGCGGAAAAUAUAUGUUGCUAUUUUUUUCUAGUUGUCAAAUACUGGUGUAGAAACUAAUGGACCUCAGUAUUAUGUUGAUGUUCCCGAGGUCACCCUAGCAAACUAUUGUUUCGGUGGGAGGUUAUCCAAUGAAAAAAAUCACUCCCAACAAACGCUAGGGAGUUGUUAUGCUAAAGUAGAUAUAUUUGUUGAACGCCGAGUAUCUACUCUGGAGCUU